UCAUCUAGCAAGUCAUGAAUAUUUUAAUCCUUAUGCUCUAACCAAAAUGGUGGUUUAUUAUGGUUUCAGGAGCAAUUUUAUCAAUCUAGGAUUGACAAAGGAACCAUCAGUAAGAAUGACCUUGGCUUGUACAUUUUUGCAUCGAAGCCCUCAAGUGGGGCUGCCAUUUUCAAAUUUUAGGUCUUGUUACAUUAGUUACCUCCAACAUUUUCAAUCCAAAAAUAAAGGUGAAUUAGAAAUGAGAUUGUUCGUCUUCUUCUCUCAACCGUAGGACAUUAUUAUAUUGUAACCAUCAGUAAAAAUGACCUUGGCUUGUACAUUUUUGCAUCGAAGCCCUCAAGUGGGGCUGCCAUUUUCAAAUUUUAGGUCUUGUUACAUUAGUUACCUCCAACAUUUUCAAUCCAAAAAUAAAGGUGAAUUAGAAAUGAGAUUGUUCGUCUUCUUCUCUCAACCGUAGGACAUUAUUAUAUUGUUAAACUCAAUGUUAGGUAACAGUGAAAAUAAUUAUGUUAUGUAACACCUAGUUUGGCGUGUUUGCAUCUUUAUUUAUUUUUCUUCCUAUUAUAGUUUUUAUUUAUUAUUUAAUAAUCCUAAUUAGUUCUUUGUUCUAUUUUUUAUUAGCUGUAACCUCUGUCUUACUUUUUCUUUCUAAUUUUGCCAAGUAUUUUGCUGGUUUUGUGGUUUCACUGUACCCUCUGUCUUACUUUUUCUUUCUAAAUUUGCCGAGUAUUUUGCUGGUUUUGUGGUUCUACCCUUUUCCAUCUCCUGCCGUUUCUUAGAACCGUAGCAUUCUUCAAUUUCAUAUCGUUUGUUCUACCCUUUUCUAUCUCCUGCCCUUUCUUAGAACCGUAGCAUUCUUCAAUUUCAUAUGCUAUGCAUUAAUUUCUUAUUUCGCGAUUCUUUUUCUGUCUUCUUAUUGUGUUAUUUCGCGAUUCUUUUUCUGUCUUCUUAUUGUGUUAUAUGAUUUGUUUUCCUCAUUGUUUGUAACGAUUAUCUGUCAUGAUGACUUUUAUUUUUCUUAUUUUUUAUGAGUAAUUAUUAAUAAAUUUAGUAAUUAUUGAGGCAUUUAAUGAAGUUAUUAGCUAUAGGGGUGGGCAUGGUAUUGUAUAUACCGAAUUAUCAUAUUGAACCGAAAUUUUUGAUACUGUGGUUUUUGGUAUUAUGGUAUUUGGUAUGGUAUAUGAUAUAGAUUUUAAAUUUUUUUGGUAUAUGGUAUGGUAUUCGGUAUUUACAAAUGACAUCGAAAUACCGAAUAUCAUAUCGAAGUAUAUAUAUUUACAUAAGUAACUUUUUGGUAUAUUUAAAUUUUUUUGGUAUAUGGU
This 1322-nucleotide long non-coding RNA is filed under the name Capsicum annuum. RNAcentral's name for it is "long non-coding RNA (CANN_LNC001154)". The record is from RNAcentral. Lineage: Eukaryota; Viridiplantae; Streptophyta; Magnoliopsida; Solanales; Solanaceae.